AGGUGAAAUUUCUAUCCUGGUGCAAUAGACAGUACGGUAAGGGAAAGAUGAAAGAACUAGAUCAAGGAAUAAAAAGCAAAGAUAAGCCCUUAUACCUUCUGCAUAAUGCAUUAACUAGAAAUAACUUUACAUAGAGAACUAUGGCCAAGUCCCCUGAAACCAGACGAGGUACCCAAGAAUACCUGAAAGAGCACACUCACCUAUGUGGCAAAAUAGCGGGAAGAUUCAUGAGUAGCAGUGACAAGCCUGCCAAGCCUGGUGACAGCUGGCUGUCUUAGUUCAACUCUAAACUUACCCAUGGAAUUACUUAAUCUCCCUGUAAGUUUGUUAGUCUAGAGAGAGAGAGCUCUUUAGACUCUUCCUACAGAGAGUAAAAAACAUUACCACCACAGUUGGCCCAAAAGCAGCCACUAAUUAAGAAAGAAUUUAAGCUCAGUAUCUAACUAUCUUAAAUUCUAACCAGUCUACUGAACUCUUAACAUCACAUCAGACUAAACUAUUACUUAAUAGAAGCAAUAACGUUAAUAUAAGUAACAUGAAGGCAUUCUCCAUUGCAUAAGCUUACAUCAGACUGGAGUAACCCACUGACAGUUAACAGCCCAAUACUAAUAAAUGAUAUAAUAAACACCCUAUUAUUUGCACUGUUAACCCAACACAGGCAUGCUCUAAAGAAACAUUACAAAAAGUAAAAGGAACUUGGCAAAUCCUACCCUGCCUGUUUACCAAAAACAUCACCUCUAGCAUUACCAGUAUCAGAGGCACGGUCUGCCCAGUGACAUAUGUUCAACGGCCGUGGUAUCCUGACCAUGCAAAGGUAGCAUCAUCACUUGUUCCCUACAUAGGGACUUGUAUGAAUGGCCACACGAGAGUUCAGCUGUCUCUUACUUUCAACCAGUGAACUUGACCUAUCCGUGAAGAGGCGGAUAUAAACAAGUAAGACGAGAAGACCUUACGGAGCUUUAAUCCAUCAAUGCAAAUAAAAACUCCAACAAGCCUACAGGCCCUAGCCUCCUACCCCUGCAUUAAAAAUUUUGGUUGGGGUGACCUCAGAACAUACUUCAAUCUCCUAACAACCUAAACUAAGACCACACUAGUCUAAGUGAGUUAUUACACACUGAGCCAAUAAUUUGAUCAACAGAAUAAGUUAUCCUAGGGAUAACAGUGCAAUCCUAUUCUAGAGUCCAUAUCGACAAUAGGGUUUACGACCUCGAUGUUGGAUCAGGGCAUCCUAAUGGUGUAGCCACUACUAAGGGUUCGUUUGUUCAAUGAUUAAAGUCCUGUAGCGAUCUGAGUUCAGACUGGAGUAAACCAGGUCUGUUUCUACCUAUUUAACAUUCCUCCUAGUAAGAAAGGACAAGAGAAAUAGGGCCCACUUCAUAACGUGCCCUCACUCCAUAGAUGAUGCUAUCUCAAUCUAAUAAAUCAUCACACACUCUACCCAAGAGUAGGGUUUGUUAAGAUGGCAGAGUCUGGCAACUGCAUAAAACACUUUAUAAUCAGAGGUUCAAUUCCUCUUC
This 1517-nucleotide ribosomal RNA is filed under the name Chlorocebus sabaeus (green monkey). Its description in RNAcentral is "Bacterial large subunit ribosomal RNA". It matches the Rfam family "Bacterial large subunit ribosomal RNA", at positions 463 to 2925 of the family's 2925-position model. Lineage: Eukaryota; Metazoa; Chordata; Mammalia; Primates; Cercopithecidae. The record is from Rfam by way of RNAcentral.